GACAGGAUCCACGUGUCUUACUCACACCUACUGAUUCUGUUUGUGGAAUGUCAUCAUCCUCUUAAGACACAGAUGAACAUCUUAGAUAAAUUUCCAGAUGGCUAGUCUACCCCUUGCCACUCCCGCAUGGAGAUAGACUUGGGUAUAUAUGUUGCUACAGACCUGUACAGACACUUCUGAAUAUGUUUAUCAUCUCUAUAUGGGCUCUUUAUUUCUGACCAUGCAUUGACCUUGACUACUUUAAGAAGAGGCAGGAAAUGAUAAGAUGAAUCAAGAAGUAAAAAACAAAUUAGAAAAACAAAGAGGAGAGGAUAAAGUAGAGGAUAAAUUAGAGGGUUUGGGGGUCUCUGAAAGAUGAGAAAGAGGCUGAUUACUGCAUAGAUUUUUUUUUUCUUUUCUGUUCCAAAGCCAGGGUCUCUGUUGUAGAACUGCUGACUCACACACUGACAGAGAUGGUUAUGGAGCUUGCUCAAGGCUGCUGUUGUCUUUGUAUGUGUCAGAAGCCCCACAGGUCCUUGGAGGGUGGGUUUCUCAGUACCAACAGUGGAUGAACUGUUGGAGACUACUGCAGGACAUUUCUUUUUCUUUUCUUUUUCUUUUUCUUUUUUUUUUUUGUAGGGCUAAAAAGGCCAAUCAAAAGAGGGACUUAUGGGUUAUAAACUAAAUUAAGAUCCAGAACAAACAGGCCGUUUGCUGUCCAUGUCUGCCUUAAAGUUGUCUUAAAUUCUUUCUGGGGAAAAAGGUGAAAUAUAAAUGAUCAAGAAGCUAUGGAGGUUUCUUGCACAUCAGUCUCCCUGAAAAUCUAUGACCAGACCUUACAAAGACUUUUGUCAUCUUCCUUGAACCAGAUAGUCUGGAAAACCUAACUUUACAGAAUGAAUGAAUUUUAGUAAGGGCUAAAAAGUGAAUUCCAUGCUCUCCUACCCUCUGCUUCACAUACACCAAGUUUCAGCAUAUUAAAAAUUAUUUUCACAGGGAAAACAAUUCUGAAGAAAAUAAUUCUCAAAUGCAUUAAAUACAAAAUUAUUUUUGCAGAAGGUUUGGGGAGGGAAGUCAGACUUUUGAAAUGCUGGUUUGUAAUGUUAUCCUAAAAGAACUUUUUGCAACAUUUCAAUUUGUAGAAUGUAUCAUUCUAAACGUAUGAUUGCCUAUGAGGUCAGGAACCUUGUCUGAUAACACAUUUAUAUUGUUCAGAGCACCUAGCAUAGUGAUAGGCACAUAUUAGUUUUUAAAAAUUUCUCUGAAUUUUUUCUUCUUUCCUCUAGUAUAAAGGCUGCAAAGCCAAAAACUCUUUUGCAGCAGGCAAGACUUUGUGGAACAAUGAGACCUAAGUAGAAGUCUACUGAGGAUUUCUGGAAAAGUCUUGUUUUCUAAAUAUAGUUACUGCCCUUCCCUUUUCCAGCCCUUGUUUCUUUCUGUUUGGACACUGCACUUGAUGGCUAGAGCUUCAACAGCCAUUGUGAGCCUGUGAGGGAAAGGAAAAUAGAAACAGUGAACUGAGCCCUGACCUCCCUGAGACACUGAACCAAUGCCAACAACCUCCAGACUUCCUGUUACAUAAGGAAAAGAAAGUGCUUAUGUGUUUAAACCACUAGUAGGAUUUUCUGUUAUCCAUAGCAGAAUACAAUUUUUUUUUCCUUUUGUAAAACCCUUCCAUCUGUCUGCCCUCUUUUGGACAUAACUCAAAUAGGAGCACACAUCUCAUCAAAUCAAAUGUGGGUGCUGUCAAAAAGUCUGCCAAAAUAUCAUGCCAUUUGCUUUUUUUAAAAAGAAGAAUUAAAAUCAGAUUUAACAAAAUUAGUUAUUUGUUUUGUUGCUUUUCUUUCCAUCCAUUACAGAAACAUAGACCUCAAUUUACUACAUGCAGGUUUAUACAGUGGCCUUCUAGGGGUAUUCCCAAAUUACCCUAAGAUAAACUAGAUAGCACAGUUUUACUGGGGCAAAAAUUAGUUUUCUCUCUCC
This 1962-nucleotide long non-coding RNA is filed under the name Homo sapiens (human). RNAcentral describes it as "non-protein coding lnc-CCDC196-3:1". The record is from RNAcentral. Lineage: Eukaryota; Metazoa; Chordata; Mammalia; Primates; Hominidae.